Vidua macroura (Pin-tailed whydah) is the source of this 521-nucleotide long non-coding RNA. RefSeq lists it as uncharacterized. The transcript is spliced from 3 exons. The record is from RefSeq and is a predicted model, not a curated record. NCBI's taxonomy places the organism in Eukaryota, Metazoa, Chordata, Aves, Passeriformes, Viduidae.
AAUGGAGGUUUUAAGUGUUACAUCAAGAGCAUGGAAAGUCAAGUUUCCAUGCAAGAAUUCCAAAAACCAACUAGCCAGAUCUCCACUCUAUCCCACAGUUAUAAACAUCAGCCUUCACUGCUGAAAUAGGCAGGUCCUCAGACACAGAGUUUUGCUCUUAAAUCACCAUCCUGCUUGGUGCCACAGCUCUUGGAACUGCGUCACCCGCACAUGCUUGGCUGGGACAGGUCACAACAAUGCCAACAAGGAGUGAGAGGCUGCAUCUCCCUGUCUAGCUUCCUCCAGGAAUAUGGAAAUCAGAGUUUUCCACUUUGGUGUAGAGCAAGGAAGAAACAGCCAUCCAAGUUUGAUGUCUCCGUCCCCAAACAAAACUUGCAAAGCUUUUGAUGUCUCCAAAGAACCUCUUCCAGCUAUGGCAGACAAAUGCAAAGAACCUGGCAGAAGCAAGAGGAGUUGUGAAUAUUGAGUCCUGUGACUGCUCUUUGCAAAGACUUGAUUUUUAUUUCCCUGCAGCAGACCAU